GAUGAACGCUGGCGGCGUGCCUAAUACAUGCAAGUCGAGCGAAGGGACGAGAAGCUUGCUUUUCUGAGGUUAGCGGCGGACGGGUGAGUAACACGUGGAUAACCUACCUAUAAGACUGGGAUAGCUUCGGGAAACCGGAGCUAAUACCGGAUAAUAUUUUGAACCGCAUGGUUCAAAAGUGAAAGACGGUCUUGCUGUCACUUAUAGAUGGAUCCGCGCUGCAUUAGCUAGUUGGUAAGGUCACGGCUUACCAAGGCAACGAUGCAUAGCCGACCUGAGAGGGUGAUUGGCCACACUGGAACUGAGACACGGCCCAGACUCCUACGCGAGGACGCAGUAGGGAAUCUUCCGCAAUGGGCGAAAGCCUGACGGAGCAACGCCGCGUGAGUGAUGAAGGUCUUCGGAUCGUAAAACUCUGUUAUUCGGGAAGAACAUAUGUGUAAGUAACUGUGAAGAUCUUGACGGUACCUAAUCAGAAAGCCACGGCUAACUCCGUG
This 497-nucleotide ribosomal RNA is filed under the name uncultured bacterium. RNAcentral's name for it is "partial 16S ribosomal RNA". It matches the Rfam family "Bacterial small subunit ribosomal RNA", at positions 28 to 507 of the family's 1533-position model. The record is from RNAcentral.